RNAcentral lists this ribosomal RNA (253 nucleotides) under uncultured bacterium. RNAcentral describes it as "partial 16S ribosomal RNA". It matches the Rfam family "Bacterial small subunit ribosomal RNA", at positions 524 to 776 of the family's 1533-position model. The record is from RNAcentral.
UACGUAGGGACCAAGCGUUGUUCGGAUUUACUGGGCGUAAAGGGCGCGUAGGCGGGCUGUCAAGUCUGGGGUGAAAUGCCGCGGCUCAACCGUGGAACUGCCUCAGAUACUGACGGCCUCGAGGAAGGUAGGGGCAUGCGGAACUGUAGGUGGAGCGGUGAAAUGCGUUGAUAUCUACAGGAACUCCGGUGGCGAAAGCGGCGUGCUGGACCUUUUCUGACGCUGAGGCGCGAAAGCUAGGGGAGCAAACGGG